This is a non-coding RNA of Triticum urartu, 407 nucleotides long. The record is from RefSeq and is a predicted model, not a curated record. Lineage: Eukaryota; Viridiplantae; Streptophyta; Magnoliopsida; Poales; Poaceae.
AAGGCUCGGAAACGCCCCGCAGCCCCCACCCCACGUACAUGUUCGCUCGUUCCUGACGAGCUCCCCUGCGCUGUGACUCCUUCUCGCUCCUGACUCCCCUGAAGCAACCGGUGGCGGCGGCGGUUUCCAGGGGAUUUAGGAGGUCAAAUUACCGUGGUGCCAAGAAGCAUGGCCGAAACAAAAGGAAAAAAUAGAGUUUACCUUACAUGGACUCCUGAGAUGGACACGACAUUGUUGGCCGUCCUUGUUGAGCAUCACAACAAUGGUGACCGUGCUCAAAAUGGUUGGAAGCCACAUGUGUAUAAUGCUUGUAUUAAGCAUGUCAAGGAUACAUGUGAUGUUGACAUUACAAAGGAAAACAUAACAGGAAGAAUCAAAACAUUUGACAAGCAGUAUGAGAUCAUUAC